Molecule: long non-coding RNA, 1161 nt
Filed under: Olea europaea subsp. europaea
Lineage: Eukaryota; Viridiplantae; Streptophyta; Magnoliopsida; Lamiales; Oleaceae
Source: RNAcentral
AUUGAAUAAAAGUAUUUGGUGGCUUGUGGCAAUUUUCACUCUCUUCUUCGAUUAUUCUUCUUCUCCCUCUUCUAUUGUUUUCUUAUUCUGUCAUCUCUUCCCCUAAUUUUUUAUUCCUGUCGAUUGGUUUUCUCAUUCUCCAUUGGGUAUUCCUAUUGGUGCUGCAUCACCACCUCUUUGAAUCAGUUGUGAAGUGAGAAACAGUCAAAUAACAAUAUAUUCUGGUAGAAGUUUGAACUGUUAAAAGGCACGAGGGGAAAUUUUCAGUUCUUUUAGAUAAUUUUCAAUAUGGGAAAAUCUACAAACGACCCCCCAUAUAUAGGGACGUAGUUCUGGAAUUUGCAUUUUAAAUCCAGGUUAUGGGCUUAACAACUAACAAAUUUUGUCAAGUCUCUGUCAAAGGAAGUUGGAAAUUUUGCAAAUAUACUAUUGUAAUUGAUCGAGAAUGAUCAAAAUGAUCUCAAGAAUUCAAAGGAACAAUUAAUCUGCACUUCAUCAUAGACAUGGUUUAACAAAACCAUUUGACAAAUCAAUAGGACAGUUCUCAGUUCUUUUCUUACCUGGUCAUCAAAUACCCAUUUCUAUUUCCACAAAAAUUCCAAUAUUUUCCUGUUCUCACCACCCAACACUCCAUUCUUCAUAGAAAUCCCAUCUUUAAACUCAACCCCUAAAUUUCUUCUUCUCCAAUCCCAUCACGUUCCAAAGAAUGACCACGAGCGAAUGCACCUUUUCAAUGUGACUUUUAUCUGCACCUUUUCUUUCCAACUCAUUGAACACUUUCUUCCAAAACUUGAGGAAAUCAUUAAAGUCUACCAAGCGGUCAAGAACUAAAGGCAAAGAUGCUCUGCUGUAGAAAUCUAAUGCCUUUGGAAUCCCAAUUUAAAAUAGUUAAAAACAAGUGCCAGGAGCUGUUUUUGGCCAGCGUGUGGAGAAAAUUGUGUUGGUGUUGCUUCUUGGUUUUUAGCAAGAAUUUAACUCCUAGGAAUAACGAAUUCUUGCAUAUGUUGAAUUUAAUACUAAAGAAGGCCUCGCAAUUUUAUGUGGAUGCUGAAAAGGCUAGUUUUUAAGUAGUGAUUGAAGAGAAAACCUGAUUGACAAUUCAUAGUUGGGACGGAGAUAGGUAUUAUGAGAGGGAGAGUUGUGUAUUGUUUAUGCAAAAAG